GAGGAGAGAAGAGAUGGAACAUUGUAGGGAAAUCAGUCUUAACGCAGUAUGGCCUGGUUUUUGAAGCGGCUUAUGUUUAUGUUUUUUGGUGGUGGUUUUAGGGUUAUUGGAGAUCUGAAAGGCGGCAUCAGCGGCUAGUAAGAGAGGAGGGAAAUCGGAGACUGAUUGUGUUGAGGCAAAACGUUUUGGCUGAAACUUGUGCUUAUUACGAUCACUACCAAAACGUUUUCCAGAGAACAUAAAGACGAAGUAAAACCA
Molecule: long non-coding RNA, 258 nt
Filed under: Brassica napus (rape)
Lineage: Eukaryota; Viridiplantae; Streptophyta; Magnoliopsida; Brassicales; Brassicaceae
Description: long non-coding RNA (BNAP_LNC027183)
Source: RNAcentral